Molecule: ribosomal RNA, 253 nt
Filed under: uncultured bacterium
Lineage: Bacteria
Description: partial 16S ribosomal RNA
Rfam family: Bacterial small subunit ribosomal RNA
Source: RNAcentral
UACGUAGGGGGCAAGCGUUGUCCGGAAUCAUUGGGCGUAAAGCGAGCGUAGGCGGCCCGAUAAGUCUGCUGUAAAAGUCAACGGCUCAACCGUUGAAAGCCGGUGGAUACUGUCGGGCUCGAGUGCGGAAGAGGCGAGUGGAAUUCCUGGUGUAGCGGUGAAAUGCGCAGAUAUCAGGAGGAACACCGAUUGCGAAGGCAGCUCGCUGGGACGUUACUGACGCUGAGACGCGAAAGCGUGGGGAGCGAACCGG